This 695-nucleotide ribosomal RNA is filed under the name Bacillus sp. Sd1-14. Its description in RNAcentral is "bacterial SSU rRNA". It matches the Rfam family "Bacterial small subunit ribosomal RNA", at positions 172 to 850 of the family's 1533-position model. Lineage: Bacteria; Bacillati; Bacillota; Bacilli; Caryophanales; Bacillaceae. The record is from RNAcentral.
GAUGCUUGUUUGAACCGCAUGGUUCAAACAUAAAAGGUGGCUUCGGCUACCACUUACAGAUGGACCCGCGGCGCAUUAGCUAGUUGGUGAGGUAAUGGCUCACCAAGGCAACGAUGCGUAGCCGACCUGAGAGGGUGAUCGGCCACACUGGGACUGAGACACGGCCCAGACUCCUACGGGAGGCAGCAGUAGGGAAUCUUCCGCAAUGGACGAAAGUCUGACGGAGCAACGCCGCGUGAGUGAUGAAGGUUUUCGGAUCGUAAAGCUCUGUUGUUAGGGAAGAACAAGUACCGUUCGAAUAGGGCGGUACCUUUUUUUUUUUUUAACCAGAAAGCCACGGCUAACUACGUGCCAGCAGCCGCGGUAAUACGUAGGUGGCAAGCGUUGUCCGGAAUUAUUGGGCGUAAAGGGCUCGCAGGCGGUUUCUUAAGUCUGAUGUGAAAGCCCCCGGCUCAACCGGGGAGGGUCAUUGGAAACUGGGGAACUUGAGUGCAGAAGAGGAGAGUGGAAUUCCACGUGUAGCGGUGACAUGCGUAGAGAUGUGGAGGAACACCAGUGGCGAAGGCGACUCUCUGGUCUGUAACUGACGCUGAGGAGCGAAAGCGUGGGGAGCGAACAGGAUUAGAUACCCUGGUAGUCCACGCCGUAAACGAUGAGUGCUAAGUGUUAGGGGGUUUCCGCCCCUUAGUGCUGCA